AGCCUUCUUGAUUGAAUCGGCCGGUUCGUGAGUCAAUUAAGGCAGUUUUAGGUCAAAUGAGUUUCUUGUGCAAGCUAUCAUCAAAUUGCUGUGCAAUUAGAAGGUCCAGAACCAGAAGCAGGCUUUUUUAACCCCCUUUUUCUUUUUGGAUUUGCAGCUUAAUCUAUCUUUUGUUUCUUUGUAUGUGGAUUUCUUUUUUAAGUCAUCCCCCUUAACAUCUCAGUUCUUCCUUUUGUCAAUAAUUAAACAGUCUACUAUAGAGCCUUCCCCGUCAUCAUCCCCAUUAUCAUCAUCUCAAUACUUACAGGGAAUUGUUAUGAAACCACCGUACCAUGUAAUAUGUAGUACAGUGUUACUUUAAGCGAUAACACUCAUCCUACUGAUGAGUCACUUGGAGAGCCUACAGACACGUUUCUAGAUGUUUUCAGAGUACUGCUUGUGGGUUGCAAAUAUUGAACUGUACCUUCCUGAAGAAGACAACAUACUGUGUUGGGGAAAAUAUAAUCAAGUGCUAUCACAAUCUUCGUGCAAACUUAACAUAUCUUGGAGUUUCGGAUGGCAUUAAACCCGGGUUGUUCAUGUGGUUUUACCAAACUAUUUUAGCAAGAUAUUUCUUAUCCUGUACGCUGGUUCUGAUAUGGUUGGUUUGCUUAGGGCUGUCCAUUUUCUCAAUAUAUACUUCUAGCUACCUCACAGGAUUCUCUCAUUUUCAAGUGUUCUUUUUUUAAUCUUUUUUCUUAUAAGUAAUUUAAGUGUCAAAAUGGCUCUCUUUUCUUGUAGGAAAUGCCCUUUUCCUUAGUUCCGAUCGAGCAUGUAAUUUUGGUUAGCAUCAUAUAUUUUCUUGUCCUUGUUUGUUGAUAAGUGUCUUGUCCUUGUUUGUUGAUAGGUGUACUUGGAUGGAUACUCAAGUGCAGGGGAUGCUAUUUGAGGCUUAAUGCUGCAACUGUUUGAUUAAACACUACAGUAUCUUCAAAUCAUGGGCCAAGUUAAAAUCAUCAGUCAUGAGCCUCGGCUGAAGUUGCACCAUCUGGUCCCUUCCCUGCUUAACUGAUGGAAACUGUUCCGCAACUAAACUCUUCAGGUCAGGAAACUCGCAAUGUCACUUUCUGCAGCCUCUCAAACUUAUUUUUAGCUUUAGGUUGGUGUCACUUAUGUUAGUUAUAUCUUAGCCAUCAUGCUAUACAAUGUUAAUUUAUAGACAUAUAAUAUUUGGUUAGAGAAAAAGUACAAGAAAAGGAACUCCUAUGCUCUUUGGGGUAAAACAAAUUCUAGCUACGUUGUCAACUAUAUCUAUUAAUGUUUUGAUUUGAUAGUUUAACAUAACAAAACUACAUGGUUAACUAGGUACAUGGAUCUUCCCAUGUUCUUUUUGUCAAAAAACCAAUUUUCGGGUCAUUACCAUGCUUUGAGAUCAUUAGUAAUUUUGUAUCCGCCCUUUUGAAUGCAACAAGACUAACCCGUCAUAAUCAUUCGCGUUAGCAUCUGUUAUGUGGAGUCUACCGCGGGUAUGUGAAUCACAACUUUUUCGAGUUCAUUGAUUGUGAUAUUAUAUAUUUGUUGAUUAAUAUAUUCCUUUGGAUUGCCUAAAAGAAAAUAUAGGAAAUAAACACAAAAGUAGAAAAGAUUGAGGAAUUUUUGUUUUCUUUAGCUUUUUUUAAAAAAUGUUUUUAACUAGAAAUUGCAAUUAAAAAAAAAAUUGCAAAGUUAAGAGAAGAAUAGCUCUAUAUAUCACAAACUCUACAUUUGUGUGUUUAUGGACCACUUCACUCACUUUGUCUCUCUCUACCAUUUUGUCUUGUCCAUUGUCUUCACUUACCCAGACGCACCAAAUUAUCAUCAUCAUCAUCUAAGCUUAUUACCAAUUUUGAGUUUUAUUUGUUUCGGCAAUUAAUGACUCCAUUGUGCACUAGAUUCGUUUUAAACCUCGUAAAAUAUAUAUUUGUACUCAAGAUGUUUAUUUUCGUGUUUUUCUUAUAUUGUUUUUUGUA
Non-coding RNA from Camelina sativa (false flax), 1988 nucleotides. The record is from RefSeq and is a predicted model, not a curated record. Lineage: Eukaryota; Viridiplantae; Streptophyta; Magnoliopsida; Brassicales; Brassicaceae.